ACCUGAUGACUCGAAUGCCGAAGACUUGCAUGUUCCGGGAUCAAAGCAGGAAGCGGAAAUGAAGUCACUUGUUCAUUGCAUUCUUUUCCCUUGGGGGCUCUGCGCAACAAUGAGAAUAUCAAGUUCAUCUGUUCCAGCCUCUGUGAGCUCUGGUGAGGUUCGCACGAAUGGGAGGGAGGAAAAGGGAAGGAAUCAAAGGACGGGUUGGGUGAGGGCCGCUGAGGGGCGUGCUUAGAGAGGCCUGGCCUGCACUGUUCGCAUCCACCUAGGCUGCAUGAUAGCCGGCUGGUGCCAUAGGUCCCCGGAUACCCAGGGUCGGAAAAUGUGGGAAAGGCACUUCCAUGGGGUCUUUCCGCCCAUCCUGCACCCCUCUUCAGAAGCCUCCAAAACAACCUUUGUGAUUUUUCUCUAGAAGGAAAAGAAUUUCUGCUGUUGGAGUGACCCUGACUUGGCCCCCGUGUGCUUGCUUCAUCAGGGAUCUUGCGAUUCAGGCAUAUUCUGGAACCAACUAGCCUGGGGUCAGUUAUACUAAAGAUCUCUGCAGACCAAAGCAUUAUGAUUCCUGCUUCAUUCCCACUGUCCUUGACAGUUUAUGUGCCAUCUUGUCUCUGGAAAUUAAGUGCUACCUACUUGAUUUCUGCUGCUCUGGGUUCUCUUCGUGCCCUGUGAAAUCAGGACUCCAGAUGACCCAUGUCAAGAAUGACGAAGACUGUCAUAUCCACUUAGAUACUAAGUUGCAAUGAAGGGACCUAGGCUUCACAUAACCCUCAGCCAUAUUUUAGCAUUACUCUCCAAGGAUAGCAGCCAUUGAUUUGACCCUUGGUAAGUCCUUGUUGAUUCUCAUUUUUAGAGUAUGCUAAAUGUCACCCCUGCACAAUAUAGAGUCCAGUGGUCUCAGCCUGAGCAGUCAUGCUGCUGGUUCAUUAAGAAGCAGCUGAAGUAUGCCAGAGAAUGCUGUGAUUUAAGUCAGCUUCC
RNAcentral lists this long non-coding RNA (975 nucleotides) under Equus asinus (donkey). RNAcentral's name for it is "lncRNA (ENSEASG00005033015.1)". The record is from RNAcentral. Lineage: Eukaryota; Metazoa; Chordata; Mammalia; Perissodactyla; Equidae.